This 253-nucleotide ribosomal RNA is filed under the name uncultured bacterium. Its description in RNAcentral is "partial 16S ribosomal RNA". It matches the Rfam family "Bacterial small subunit ribosomal RNA", at positions 524 to 776 of the family's 1533-position model. The record is from RNAcentral.
GACAGAGGGUGCAAACGUUGUUCGGAAUUACUGGGCGUAAAGCGCGUGUAGGCGGCUCGGAAAGUCGGGUGUGAAAGCCCUGGGCUCAACCUAGGAAGUGCACUCGAAACUUCCGAGCUGGAGUUCUGGAGAGGAAGGCGGAAUUCUUGGUGUAGCGGUGAAAUGCGUAGAUAUCAAGAGGAACACCUGCGGCGAAGGCGGGUUGCUGGGCCGACACUGACGCUGAGGCGCGAAAGCUAGGGGAGCGAACGGG